CCCUUUUAAAGCAAAAUUACAUCAUAUGCAUUGUCAGAGAUAACAUGGAAUAAUACAUCAAUAAUUGGUUAGGUGUUAAGUGCUUGCUCUAAUGCUCUGCCUACUGUAGGUGAUGUCACCGGGGCCAUGAGGGUCUCCCACGGUUUCCCGGCGCCAUCUUGAUGCACGAGGUAGUUAGUCGACGUUAGGAGGGGAAGGGAGGGGGAAGGAGGGAUUAGAAGCUUCUAGCAGCCAUCUUGAUUAAAAUAUGUGUUUAGUUUUAUGCGAUACAUAUAUUUCAUGAAAUGAGUAAAUAGACAUUUUUCUCUAUCUAGGAAAUAUGUGCAGACCUUAUUUCCACAACAGUU
Pelobates cultripes (western spadefoot toad) is the source of this 347-nucleotide non-coding RNA. The record is from the annotation of a GenBank genome assembly. NCBI's taxonomy places the organism in Eukaryota, Metazoa, Chordata, Amphibia, Anura, Pelobatidae.